RNAcentral lists this ribosomal RNA (519 nucleotides) under uncultured eukaryote. RNAcentral's name for it is "bacterial SSU rRNA". It matches the Rfam family "Eukaryotic small subunit ribosomal RNA", at positions 1161 to 1650 of the family's 1831-position model. The record is from RNAcentral.
AGGGCACCACCAGGAGUGGAGCCUGCGGCUUAAUUUGACUCAACACGGGAAAACUUACCUGGUCAGGACACUGGAAGGAUUGACAGAUUGAGAGCCCUUUCUUGAUUCAGUGGGUGGUGGUGCAUGGCCGUUCUUAGUCGGUGGAGCGAUUUGUCUGGUUAAUUCCGAUAACGAACGAGACUCUAGCCUACUAAAUAGACUGCUCAACUUUAUAGCUGCAUCACCUUGCAGUGGCUUCGGUUGCUGUAAGGCUGUGGUGACGUUGGCAGUGCUUCUUAGAGGGACAGGCGGCGGUUCAGCCGCACGAAACAGAGCAAUAACAGGUCUGUGAUGCCCUUAGAUGUCCAGGGCCGCACGCGCGCUACACUGAAGUGAUCAGCGUGCAAUUAACGUUUCCUACUCCGUCAGGAGUGGGUAACCCGUUGAACCUUCUUCGUGAUUGGGAUAGGGGAUUGUAAUUAUUCCCCUUGAACGAGGAAUUCCCAGUAAGCGCAAGUCAUAAGCUUGCGUUGAUUACGU